This 497-nucleotide ribosomal RNA is filed under the name uncultured bacterium. Its description in RNAcentral is "partial 16S ribosomal RNA". It matches the Rfam family "Bacterial small subunit ribosomal RNA", at positions 28 to 507 of the family's 1533-position model. The record is from RNAcentral.
GAUGAACGCUGGCGGCGUGCCUAAUACAUGCCAGUCGAGCGAACAGACGAGGAGCUUGCUCCUCUGACGUUAGCGGCGGACGGGUGAGUAACACGUGGAUAACCUACCUAUAAGACUGGGAUAACUUCGGGAAACCGGAGCUAAUACCGGAUAAUAUAUUGAACCGCAUGGUUCAAUAGUGAAAGACGGUUUUGCUGUCACUUAUACAUGGAUCCGCGCCGCAUUAGCUAGUUGGUAAGGUAACGGCUUACCAAGGCAACGAUGCGUAGCCGACCUGAGAGGGUGAUCGGCCACACUGGAACUGAGACACGGUCCAGACUCCUACGGGAGGCAGCAGUAGGGAAUCUUCCGCAAUGGGCGAAAGCCUGACGGAGCAACGCCGCGUGAGUGAUGAAGGUCUUCGGAUCGUAAAACUCUGUUAUUAGGGAAGAACAAAUGUGUAAGUAACUAUGCACGUCUUGACGGUACCUAAUCAGAAAGCCACGGCUAACUACGUG